CUGAUAGCUCUGUAGACUCUCUUUAUGAACAGAACAUGUGCAGCAUAGCCAGUGGCAAUAAAAGCUUUCCCACAGGGAUAUGCUAAUGUGCCUCAACCCUGACCUGGAGGGAUCACAUGUAGUUUCCGUAUCCUAAUCAGUCCUUUGCCUCU
Molecule: unclassified non-coding RNA, 152 nt
Organism: Chelonoidis abingdonii (Abingdon island giant tortoise)
Lineage: Eukaryota; Metazoa; Chordata; Testudines; Testudinidae
Source: Ensembl